Molecule: long non-coding RNA, 389 nt
Organism: Triticum dicoccoides
Lineage: Eukaryota; Viridiplantae; Streptophyta; Magnoliopsida; Poales; Poaceae
Exons: 3
Source: RefSeq, a predicted model, not a curated record
CCCACGUCGCGGCGCAUGCGCUCCCGACGACGCCGGUGGCCCCGCCUGUCUCCGAGAACCACCCGCCGGGCAACAUUCCGCGGAGGCACGCCGGGUAUAGACAUACAUCGGGGUGCGAUGCAUGCGCGUUAGAGCAAGCGCACAGUGGAAGACACUACAUUAAGGCAAGAGGAAGGCCCAGACCACGCCGCGCUCCUCGUUGCGAGCUUGAGUUUGGAAGGUGGUGAUUGAUCUAAAGGUUAAGGUGUUAGCCAUGGAUACUGAAUAAGGAGUCUGCCGAACAAUUAGUAAUAAUAUGGAUAAAACAUUGCCAUGAUUGCAAUAGCAUUAGAAAACAUGAUGUUGACAUUUUGAUGUCCAUUGCUGUUCUCGUUAUGUUUCUCGUGGUG